ACCGUGCGGGUGCAGAUAAAAGCUUCUAACUUCAUAUCUGAAAGGCUCAUCUCCUUUCACGGUUUU
Molecule: transfer RNA, 66 nt
Filed under: Platynereis cf. australis PA-2020
Lineage: Eukaryota; Metazoa; Annelida; Polychaeta; Phyllodocida; Nereididae
Description: tRNA-Ser
Source: RNAcentral